Molecule: ribosomal RNA, 255 nt
Filed under: uncultured bacterium
Lineage: Bacteria
Description: partial 16S ribosomal RNA
Rfam family: Bacterial small subunit ribosomal RNA
Source: RNAcentral
UACGAAGGGGGCUAGCGUUGUUCGGAAUCACUGGGCGUAAAGCGCACGUAGGCGGAUCUUUAAGUCAGAGGUGAAAUCCCAAGGCUCAACCUUGGAACUGCCUUUGAUACUGGGGAUCUUGAGUCCGGGAGAGGUGAGUGGAACUGCGAGUGUAGAGGUGAAAUUCGUAGAUAUUCGCAAGAACACCAGUGGCGAAGGCGGCUCACUGGCCCGGUACUGACGCUGAGGCACGGAAAGCUAAGGGGAGCAAACAGG